Molecule: small RNA, 98 nt
Organism: Lonsdalea quercina
Lineage: Bacteria; Pseudomonadati; Pseudomonadota; Gammaproteobacteria; Enterobacterales; Pectobacteriaceae
Rfam family: t44 RNA
About the family: This family consists of a number of bacterial RNA genes of between 135 and 170 bases in length. The t44 gene is found between the map and rpsB genes in all species in the full alignment apart from Shigella flexneri. The function of this RNA is unknown.
Source: Rfam
CUCACUAUGUGUAAAUAACACACACGUGUCGGCACAUUUGCCGGGGUGCUCUGCAGCAUGCUGCGGGGUCGGCAUAAUGGGACACGUGGAGGCAUAAC